Molecule: ribosomal RNA, 799 nt
Filed under: uncultured Bacteroidota bacterium
Lineage: Bacteria; Pseudomonadati; Bacteroidota
Description: bacterial SSU rRNA
Rfam family: Bacterial small subunit ribosomal RNA
Source: RNAcentral
AGGAGAGUUUGAUCCUGGCUCAGGAUGAACGCUAGCGGCAGGCUUAACACAUGCAAGUCGAGGGGCAGCGGGUGUAGCAAUACAUGCCGGCGACCGGCGCAAGGGUGCGUAACGCGUGAGCGACAUGCCCGUGACUGGGGGAUAACCGAUGGAAACGUCGCCUAAUCCCGCAUAACACAUGAUACUGCAUGGUAUCAUGUUGAAAACUCUGGUGGUCACGGAUUGGCUCGCGUAUCAUUAGCUAGUCGGCGGGGUAACGGCCCACCGAGGCGACGAUGAUUAGGGGUUCUGAGAGGAAGGUCCCCCACAAUGGAACUGAGACACGGUCCAUACUCCUACGGGAGGCAGCAGUGAGGAAUAUUGGUCAAUGGGCGGAAGCCUGAACCAGCCAUGCCGCGUGCAGGAUGACGGCCCUAUGGGUUGUAAACUGCUUUUGAGCGGGAGCAAUAAGGGCCUCGAGGAGGUCUGAUGAGAGUACCGUUCGAAUAAGCAUCGGCUAACUCCGUGCCAGCAGCCGCGGUAAUACGGAGGAUGCGAGCGUUAUCCGGAUUUAUUGGGUUUAAAGGGUGCGUAGGCUGUGCGCUAAGUCAGGGGUGAAAUGUCCGGGCUCAACCUGGGAGCUGCCUUUGAUACUGGCGUGCUGGAGUACGGAUGCCGUUGGAGGAAUGAGUGGUGUAGCGGUGAAAUGCAUAGAUAUCACUCAGAACACCGAUUGCGAAGGCAUCUGACGAAUCCGUCACUGACGCUGAGGCACGAAAGCGUGGGGAUAGAACAGGAUUAGAUACCCUGGUAGUCCCCU